RNAcentral lists this ribosomal RNA (496 nucleotides) under uncultured bacterium. Its description in RNAcentral is "partial 16S ribosomal RNA". It matches the Rfam family "Bacterial small subunit ribosomal RNA", at positions 28 to 506 of the family's 1533-position model. The record is from RNAcentral.
GAUGAACGCUGGCGGCGUGCCUAAUACAUGCAAGUCGAGCGAACAGACGAGGAGCUUGCUCCUCUGACGUUAGCGGCGGACGGGUGAGUAACACGUGGAUAACCUACCUAUAAGACUGGGAUAACUUCGGGAAACCGGAGCUAAUACCGGAUAAUAUAUUGAACCGCAUGGUUCAAUAGUGAAAGACGGUUUUGCUGUCACUUAUAGAUGGAUCCGCGCCGCAUUAGCUAGUUGGUAAGGUAACGGCUUACCAAGGCGACGAUGCGCAGCCGACCUGAGAGGGUGAUCGGCCACACUGGAACUGAGACACGGUCCAGACUCCUACGGGAGGCAGCAGUAGGGAAUCUUCCGCAAUGGGCGAAAGCCUGACGGAGCAACGCCGCGUGAGUGAUGAAGGUCUUCGGAUCGUAAAACUCUGUUAUUAGGGAAGAACAAAUGUGUAAGUAACUAUGCACGUCUUGACGGUACCUAAGCAGAAAGCCACGGCUAACUACGU